Molecule: ribosomal RNA, 460 nt
Filed under: uncultured bacterium
Lineage: Bacteria
Description: partial 16S ribosomal RNA
Rfam family: Bacterial small subunit ribosomal RNA
Source: RNAcentral
CCUACGGGAGGCAGCAGUGAGGAAUAUUGGUCAAUGGGCGAGAGCCUGAACCAGCCAAGUAGCGUGAAGGAUGACGGACCUAUGGUUUGUAAACUUCUUUUAUAUGGGAAUAAAGUGAGGUACGUGUUCGUCUUUGUAUGUACCGUAUGAAUAAGCAUCGGCUAACUCCGUGCCAGCAGCCGCGGUAAUACGGAAGAUGCGAGCGUUAUCCGGAUUUAUUGGGUUUAAAGGGUGCGUAGGUGGUGAAUCAAGCCUGCGGUGAAAGUUUGUGGCUCAACCAUAAAAUUGCCGUUGAAACUGGUUGACUUGAGUACAUUGAAGGUAGGCGGAAUGCGUGGUGUAGCGGUGAAAUGCAUAGAUAUCACGCAGAACUCCGAUUGCGAAGGCAGCUUACUAAACUAGAACUGACACUGAUGCUCGAAAGCGUGGGGAUCGAACAGGAUUAGAUACCCCAGUAGUC